This 386-nucleotide ribosomal RNA is filed under the name Congosorex verheyeni (Lesser Congo shrew). RNAcentral describes it as "partial 16S ribosomal RNA". It matches the Rfam family "Bacterial large subunit ribosomal RNA", at positions 1928 to 2563 of the family's 2925-position model. Lineage: Eukaryota; Metazoa; Chordata; Mammalia; Eulipotyphla; Soricidae. The record is from RNAcentral.
CGGCCGCGGUAUCCUGACCGUGCAAAGGUAGCAUAAUCAUUUGUUCCUUAAUUAGGGACUAGUAUGAAUGGCCACACGAGGGUUUAACUGUCUCUUAUUUCUAAUCAGUGAAAUUGACCUUCCCGUGAAGAGGCGGGAAUAAAAAAAUAAGACGAGAAGACCCUAUGGAGCUUAAAUUAUAUAACUCUGAGUUAUAGAUUUCGGUUGGGGUGACCUCGGAGUACAAAACAACCUCCGAACCAAGAUUAACAAAUCAAAGUCAAUCUAAUUGAUUAACGAAACAAGUUACCCUAGGGAUAACAGCGCAAUCCUAUUCAAGAGUCCUUAUCGACAAUAGGGUUUACGACCUCGAUGUUGGAUCAGGACAUCCUAAUGGUGCAGCAGCU